UCUUCUAUCCCCUUUCUUGCCUUUCGGUUUCUCUCUAAAAAGGGAAAAGUCAGUGUUGGUUAUUCCUGUUUUCCGUGGGCUGCAUCAGUUGCAUCAUAUUGCAACGGACUCGGUUUACCAGUGGAAUCGUAGGCUGUUUCUUUUGGAGUAGUAAGGGAAAUCCCCAGCCUUAGACGGAUCGGUGCUGCGAGGGAUUCGGAAGUGGCCACACUACUGCUCCUGCUUUAUAUUUGACUUUUAUUUACUAUUAAAUUUCGAAUUGGGUAUUUAUUUAUGUAAUAAGGCCUCUCUAAGGUUUUAACUUUUAAUUUGGGAUUUUUACUUACUUUGAUAUAAACUGCUAGUUGUAGGAAGAAGAA
Long non-coding RNA from Gossypium arboreum, 359 nucleotides. RefSeq lists it as uncharacterized. NCBI's taxonomy places the organism in Eukaryota, Viridiplantae, Streptophyta, Magnoliopsida, Malvales, Malvaceae. The transcript has 3 exons. The record is from RefSeq and is a predicted model, not a curated record.